This 497-nucleotide ribosomal RNA is filed under the name uncultured bacterium. Its description in RNAcentral is "partial 16S ribosomal RNA". It matches the Rfam family "Bacterial small subunit ribosomal RNA", at positions 28 to 507 of the family's 1533-position model. The record is from RNAcentral.
GAUGAACGCUGGCGGCGUGCCUAAUACAUGCGAGUCGAGCGAACAGACGAGGAGCUUGCUCCUCUGACGUUAGCGGCGGACGGGUGAGUAACACGUGGAUAACCUACCUAUAAGACUGGGAUAACUUCGGGAAACCGGAGCUAAUACCGGAUAAUAUAUUGAACCGCAUGGUUCAAUAGUGAAAGACGGUUUUGCUGUCACUUAUAGAUGGAUCCGCGCCGCAUUAGCUAGUUGGUAAGGUAACGGCUUACCAAGGCGACGAUGCGUAGCCGACCUGAGAGGGUGAUCGGCCACACUGGAACUGAGACACGGUCCAGACUCCUACGGGAGGCAGCAGUAGGGAAUCUUCCGCAAUGGGCGAAAGCCUGACGGAGCAACGCCGCGUGAGUGAUGAAGGUCUUCGGAUCGUAAAACUCUGUUAUUAGGGAAGAACAAAUGUGUAAGUAACUAUGCACGCCUUGACGGUACCUAAUCAGAAAGCCACGGCUAACUACGUG